Molecule: ribosomal RNA, 468 nt
Filed under: uncultured bacterium
Lineage: Bacteria
Description: partial 16S ribosomal RNA
Rfam family: Bacterial small subunit ribosomal RNA
Source: RNAcentral
GACGAACGCUGGCGGCGUGCUUAACACAUGCAAGUCGAACGGAAAGGCCCUGCUUUUGUGGGGUUCUCGCGUGGCGAACGGGUUAGUAACCCGUUAGUAACCUUCCCUUUCCUUUGGGAUAACUUCCGGAAACUGGGGCUAAUUCCGGAUAGUAGCUCCUGCUGCAUGGUGGGGGUUGGAAAGUUUCGGCGGUUGGGGAUGGACUCGCGGCUUAUCAGCUUGUUGGUGGGGUAGUGGCUUACCAAGGCUUUGACGGGUAGCCGGCCUGAGAGGGUGACCGGCCACAUUGGGACUGAGAUACGGCCCAGACGCCUACGGGAGGGAGCAGUGGGGAAUAUUGCAAAAUGGGCGGAAGCCUGAUGCAGCAACGCCGCGUGCGGGAUGACGGCCUUCGGGUGGUAAACCGCUUUCGCCUGUGACGAAGCGGGAGUGACGGUAAUGGGUAAAGAAGCACCGGCUAACUACGUG